GUAAAGUUUAAUUUUAACUUAAAUUUUUAUUAUUUAUUUAAUUUAUAUGUAAAUUUAAGUGAGAACAAAAUUUGUGCUUAAAUAGUUAAAAUUAAAAUUUGAUUCGCAGUAAGUAAAAUUAAAUAUAAAAGAUAUUUUGAUUUAGAAAUAUAUAUAGUGUUGAUAAAAUUUGUGCCAGCAUUCGCGGUUAUACAAAUAAUACAAUUAAAAAUUUUUAGUGUUAGUUAAUUAAAAAUGGUAAAAAUUUAAAGUUUAAUUUUUUAGGUGAAAUUUAAAAUUGAAGUAUAUUUAAUUAAAGAGAUUGAGGCUAAGAAAUUUUUUUAAAAAACUAGGAUUAGAUACCCUAUUAUUAAAAAUGUAAAAUAAUUAAACUAAGCUAUUAUAAGUUAUGUUCUUUAAAGUUAAAGAUUUUGGCGGUAUUUUAGUCUUUUCAGAGGAACCUGUUCUGUAAUUGAUAUUCCACAAUAUGAAAUACUUUUAUUAAAAUUUGCAUAUCGUUGUAAAAUAGUAUUUUUUAAGGAAAAAAAUAUUAGAAAUUUAUUUUAUAAAAAAAAUCAAAUCAAGAUGUAGUUUAUAUAGAAGAAGAAAUGGGUUACAAUAAAUAGAUUUAUAUGGAUAUUUAAUUUAAAAUUGAGUGGAAGGUGGAUUUGAGAGUAAUUUUAAUGAGUUAAUUAAAAUGAUUAUAGCUCUAAAAUAUGCACAUAUUGCCCGUCGCUUUCAUUAUAAGAUGAAAUAAGUCGUAACAAAGUAGGUGUACUGGAAAGUGUGCCUAGAAAGAU
This 779-nucleotide non-coding RNA is filed under the name Platystomos albinus. Lineage: Eukaryota; Metazoa; Arthropoda; Insecta; Coleoptera; Anthribidae. The record is from RNAcentral.